CUUCAGUGAUGACACAGAGAUAAGGGCUGAUGGUGGCUCCAACAAUGGAGGCUUUUAUUAAGGAUCUUCUGGGUAGUUUUGAAUUUGGCGGUCCCUGUGGACAAAGCAGGAUGAUUUAUGUUUUCUUCUACGCCGUCCGCUUGAUUGCAAUCACAUCCCGGCAGCCUUGUCGUGAUUGGG
This is a long non-coding RNA of Notolabrus celidotus (New Zealand spotty), 180 nucleotides long. RefSeq lists it as uncharacterized. The transcript is spliced from 3 exons. The record is from RefSeq and is a predicted model, not a curated record. Lineage: Eukaryota; Metazoa; Chordata; Actinopteri; Labriformes; Labridae.